AUGCUUUCAGUUUUCAAGAAAGAAGACACCAUUGUUGCCAAAGGUUUUGGUAAUUUGAGAGAUACAAACAGAACCUGCUAAGGCCAUCAAACCUAUUGAUCGGAAGUCAGUCCAUCAGAUAUGCUCUGGGCCAGUGGUACUGAGUCUAAGCACUGCAGUGAAGGAGUUAGUAGAAAACAGUCUGGAUGCUGGUGCCACUAAUA
This 203-nucleotide long non-coding RNA is filed under the name Homo sapiens (human). RNAcentral describes it as "non-protein coding lnc-UPK3B-1:11". The record is from RNAcentral. Lineage: Eukaryota; Metazoa; Chordata; Mammalia; Primates; Hominidae.